This 435-nucleotide ribosomal RNA is filed under the name Asteronotus namuro. RNAcentral's name for it is "partial large subunit ribosomal RNA". It matches the Rfam family "Archaeal large subunit ribosomal RNA", at positions 1926 to 2665 of the family's 2987-position model. The record is from RNAcentral. Lineage: Eukaryota; Metazoa; Mollusca; Gastropoda; Nudibranchia; Asteronotidae.
UUAGGAAAUUAAUCUAAGGUUAAACCUGCCCAAUGUAAGCUAAUAUGAAUGGCCGCGGUACUUUGACCGUGCUAAGGUAGCGCAAUCAAUUGGCUUUUAAUUGAAGCCAUGUAUGAAUGGAAUCACGGGGUUUAGCUGUCUCUUAACUAAUUUAUCAAAAUUACUAUUUAGGUGAAAAAGCCUAAGAGAAGAAAAAGGACGAGAAGACCCUUAGAGUUUUACUUAAACUAAAGAUAUUUUUAAAACAGUUUAGUUGGGGCAACAUAGGAGCAAAUUUAACCUCCUGUAAAAAAUUAACCGAUACUGAUAAACACGAAUAAACUACCUUAGGGAUAACAGCAUAAUUUUAUAAAUAAGUUUGUGACCUCGAUGUUGGACUAGGAAACUUAGAGGCUAGCCGCCUCUCAGGGAAGUUCUGUUCGAACUAUUAUUCCU